Molecule: ribosomal RNA, 264 nt
Filed under: uncultured bacterium
Lineage: Bacteria
Description: partial 16S ribosomal RNA
Rfam family: Bacterial small subunit ribosomal RNA
Source: RNAcentral
GUCCACGCCCUAAACGAUGUCUACUAGUUGUCGGGUUUUAAUUAACUUGGUAACGCAGCUAACGCGUGAAGUAGACCGCCUGGGGAGUACGGUCGCAAGAUUAAAACUCAAAGGAAUUGACGGGACCCGCACAAGCGGUGGAUGAUGUGGAUUAAUUCGAUGCAACGCGAAAAACCUUACCUACCCUUGACAUGUCUGGAAUCCCGAAGAGAUUUUGGGAGUGCUCGGAAGAGAACCGGAACACAGGUGCUGCAUGGCUGUCGU